UGCGUAGGCGGCCCUGUGUGUCAGAGGUGAAAUCCCACGGCUCAACCGUGGAAUUGCCUUUGAAACUGCAGGGCUUGAGUCCGAGAGGGGAAGGUGGAAUUCCUGGUGUAACGGUGAAAUGUGCAGAUAUCAGGAAGAACACCCGUGGCGAAGGCGGCCUUCUGGCUCGGAACUGACGCUGGGGCACGAAAGCUAGGGUAUCGAACG
RNAcentral lists this ribosomal RNA (207 nucleotides) under uncultured bacterium. RNAcentral's name for it is "partial 16S ribosomal RNA". It matches the Rfam family "Bacterial small subunit ribosomal RNA", at positions 568 to 774 of the family's 1533-position model. The record is from RNAcentral.